UCCCAGAAGCUAAAAUGAAGCGUUGGUCUUGUAAAUCAAAGAGUGGUUUAACCCUGAGACUA
This 62-nucleotide transfer RNA is filed under the name Pholoe pallida. RNAcentral's name for it is "tRNA-Thr". Lineage: Eukaryota; Metazoa; Annelida; Polychaeta; Phyllodocida; Pholoidae. The record is from RNAcentral.